ACCAAACAGCUAGCUCAACCAUUAAAUAAAUAAACCAUAUAAAUAAAAUAGUAUAAAACUAAAAUCAAAAAUUAAACCAUUUUAAUGUCCUAGUACGGGAGACGAAAAAGACUACCUGAAGCAAUAGACACAGUACCGUGAGGGAAAGCUGAAAGAGUAAUGAAAUAAUUCAUAUAAGUAACAAAAAGCAAAGAUUAAACCUUGUACCUUUUGCAUCAUGAUUUAGCCAGUACAUUUAAGCAAAGAGAACUUUAGUUUAAAACCCCGAAACCAGGUGAGCUACCCCGAGGCAGCCGUCAAGGGCCAACCCGUCUCUGUGGCAAAAGAGUGGGAAGAACUCCGGGUAGAAGUGACAGACCUACCGAACCUGGUGAUAGCUGGUUACCUAAGAAAUGAAUAGAAGUUCAGCCUUGCAUACCUCCCACCAACUUAACUCAAAUAUAAAUGAAGCGUAUGAGAAAUGUGUAAGAGUUAAUUAAAGGGGGUACAGCCCCUUUAAUAAAGGACACAACCUUUUCAGGAGGAUAAAGAUCAUAUUAUACAAAACACAAUGUUCUAGUGGGCCUAAAAGCAGCCACCUAAGCAGAAAGCGUCAAAGCUCAGACAUAAACAGGUUUAUAAUCCCGAUAAUCAAAUCUUAUUCCCCUAAAAGUAUUAGGUCAACCCAUGCCGACAUGGAAGAGAUAAUGCUAGAAUGAGUAACAAGAAGAACUGCUCUUCUCCUAACACAAGUGUAAGCCAAAUCGGACCAACCAUUGGCAAUUAACAGGCUCAGCUCAAGAGAGUACUGUAAGCUGCAAAAAGACCAAGAAGAUUUCACAAUGAAACUCUGUUAACCCCACACUGGAGUGUAUUUAAAGGAAAGACUAAAAAGGGGGGAAGGAACUCGGCAAACAUAAGCCUCGCCUGUUUACCAAAAACAUCGCCUCCUGCAACAAAACCAAGUAUAGGAGGUCCAGCCUGCCCAGUGACUAUAAGUUCAACGGCCGCGGUAUUUUGACCGUGCAAAGGUAGCGCAAUCACUUGUCUUUUAAAUGAAGACCUGUAUGAAUGGCUAAACGAGGGCUUAACUGUCUUCCUCCCUCAGUCAGUGAAAUUGACCUGCCCGUGCAGAGGCGGACAUAAUUAUACAAGACGAGAAGACCCUUUGGAGCUUAAGGUAUAAGAGUUAACCACGUUAUACGACUAAAUAAGAAGCGAGAACCUUGUGGAUCUGAAAUUUUACCUUUCGGUUGGGGCGACCACGGGAGUAGAAUAAAACCUCCGAGUGGGACUGGGGGAAAUUCCUAGAACCAAGAGAGACAUCUCUAAGCCACAGAACAUCUGACCAAUAAUGAUCCGGACUAUAGUACCCGAUCAACGAACCAAGUUACCCUAGGGAUAACAGCGCAAUCCUCUCCAAGAGCCCAUAUCGACGAGAGGGUUUACGACCUCGAUGUUGGAUCAGGACAUCCUAGUGGUGCAGCCGCUAUUAAGGGUUCGUUUGUUCAACGAUUAAAGUCCUACGUGAUCUGAGUUCAGACCGGAGCAAUCCAGGUCAGUUUCUAUCUGUACAACUACUUUUCCUAGUACGAAAGGACCGGAAAAGUGGGGCCCAUACUAAAGGCACGCCCCACCCUUAACUUAUGAAGACAAAUAAAUAGAAUGAAGGGAGAGUCAAAAUUUCCAAAUGCCAAGAUAAGGCCUU
RNAcentral lists this ribosomal RNA (1687 nucleotides) under Chagunius chagunio. RNAcentral's name for it is "16S rRNA". It matches the Rfam family "Bacterial large subunit ribosomal RNA". The record is from RNAcentral. Lineage: Eukaryota; Metazoa; Chordata; Actinopteri; Cypriniformes; Cyprinidae.